UACGGAGGGUGCAAGCGUUGUCCGGAUUUAUUGGGUUUAAAGGGUGCGUAGGUGGCUCUAUAAGUCAGUGGUGAAAGCCUGCAGCUUAACUGUAGGACUGCCAUUGAUACUGUAGAGCUUGAGUACUGAUGAGGUAGGCGGAAUUGAUAGUGUAGCGGUGAAAUGCAUAGAUAUUAUCAAGAACACCGAUUGCGAAGGCAGCUUACUAAGGAGUUACUGACACUGAGGCACGAAGGCCAGGGGAGCAAACGGG
Molecule: ribosomal RNA, 253 nt
Filed under: uncultured bacterium
Lineage: Bacteria
Description: partial 16S ribosomal RNA
Rfam family: Bacterial small subunit ribosomal RNA
Source: RNAcentral